Molecule: ribosomal RNA, 513 nt
Filed under: uncultured bacterium
Lineage: Bacteria
Description: partial 16S ribosomal RNA
Rfam family: Bacterial small subunit ribosomal RNA
Source: RNAcentral
GACGAACGCUGGCGGCGUGCUUAACACAUGCAAGUCGAACGAAAAGAGGGAAAGAGCUUGCUCUUUCCGGAAUUGAGUGGCAAACGGGUGAGUAACACGUAAACAACCUGCCUUCAGGAUGGGGACAACAGACGGAAACGACUGCUAAUACCGAAUAAGUUCCAAGGGCCGCAUGGCCCAUGGAAGAAAAGGUGGCCUCUACCGGUAAGCUAUCGCAUGAAGAGGGGUUUGCGUCUGAUUAGCUGGUUGGAGGGGUAACGGCCCACCAAGGCGACGAUCAGUAGCCGGUCUGGGAGGAUGAACGGCCACACUGGAACUGAGACACGGUCCAGACUCCUACGGGAGGCAGCAGUGGGGAAUCUUCCGCAAUGGGCGAAAGCCUGACGGAGCAACGCCGCGUGAGUGAUGACGGCCUUCGGGUUGUAAAACUCUGUGAUCCGGGACGAAAAGGCAGAGUGCGAAGAACAAACUGCAUUGACGGUACCGGAAAAGCAAGCCACGGCUAACUACGUG